UGGAAAGAACAGACUUUCUUACAUAAUUGCCAGUUAAUUGUUGCAGCUGUUUGUUCGAGGAAAAUCCACUUGUUGAAGAAAUUUUAGAAACGCACAAUAGGAUAUCGGACGUCAAGUGCAAGUAACCAGCCAUUGCAUCACCCAAGACGUAUACUGAUUUAACCCCGGCGACUGCAUCACCGAUUUAUGGCACAACCUGAAAGUGCUGGUGUGUGCCUGAACUGAAGUUAAAGGCAGGAACUGAAGUAGAAGAAGGGCCACCCAUUUGAAUCUGCCCGUCGACGAUAUCGAUGAUCCUCAGGCCACAACAGUCCAUAAUUUUCACGAUCUUGAGAGUUUCCAAAAAGCUCAGCUGCUCAAUAAGUCCCGUUUUUGGAACGAACACAGUCAAAUUUAUCAGUUGGACUUCGGAGGGUGAGUGACCCAAGAAUCUGCGAAAAAUUUUCAGAUUGAAUUCUAAGGAAAACAGGUUAUGCAGUUUAGCAGAAUCGAUGGGAAUGCCUACACGUUAGAUUUUCAGUAUCCUUUCUCAGCUGUCCAGGCUUUUGCUGUGGCAUUGGUGACUCAACGAUUGAAAUAAAAAUGGUAUUUGGAUAAAUCUGUCCAGAGAUGGUCAAUGUGACAUUAAGCAUUCGUAACUGUGAGAAUUUAUUCCACGUGUCAUUCCUUUGUUAAAUAUGAAA
Daphnia carinata is the source of this 683-nucleotide long non-coding RNA. RefSeq lists it as uncharacterized. Lineage: Eukaryota; Metazoa; Arthropoda; Branchiopoda; Diplostraca; Daphniidae. The transcript is spliced from 4 exons. The record is from RefSeq and is a predicted model, not a curated record.